RNAcentral lists this long non-coding RNA (554 nucleotides) under Homo sapiens (human). Its description in RNAcentral is "non-protein coding lnc-TOMM20-2:8". Lineage: Eukaryota; Metazoa; Chordata; Mammalia; Primates; Hominidae. The record is from RNAcentral.
UAGCUUCCCCGCCACUCCUCUAAAAUCCCUCCUCAAAAACCCCAAGUUAAAAAAAAAAAAGAUCUAUUCUUGUAGAUUUUUUUUGUGUGGGUCUAUGUUUCAUUCAUCUGCUUUCAGGCUGGAUUUAUAACAAGCAGAACUUUUAAAACGCUUCAGGAAAAAGAGGACCUUAGAACUGAAGGAGCAAGAUUCCAACAUCACACUGUUUUUGUUAGCUGUGUGUGUGUGUUUCCUGUGUAUCCAAAAGACAGAGGAGAUGAAAAAGCAAAAGAAAAGAAACGAGGAAUCAGAUUGGAAAGAAGGUUUCUCCAGGACGUCACCUGUAUGAGGUACACAGUGUGAUGACACACUCUGUGCUUUUCCUACUUGUGUCCACGUGAGUGUCUGGAGCUGCCCUUCAAGGAGAGCAAUAGAUGAAUGAUUCUGCCUUCCCGCUGAGAGGGAUGUGGGUCCUGCGGAUGGUCGGGGUGAAGCUUCCUCUCCUUUCUGCUGACAGCACUUCCUCAUUAAAUGCAGAGAUCUGCAAAAAGGGAAAAUAAAAACACAAGAAGAAA